GCCGAUGACUUUACUGAUUUUUCGAGAGGUGGUGCAUGGCCGUCGUCAGUUCGUACCGUAAGGCGUUCUGUUAAGUCAGAUAACGAACGAGACCCUCGCCCUUAAUUGCCAACCCAUUCUCCGGAGUGGGCGCACAUUAAGGGGACCGCUGGCGCUAAGUCAGAGGAAGGAGAGGUCAACGGUAGGUUAGUAUGCCCCGAAUCUCCCGGGCUACACGCGCGCUACAAAGGAUAGGACAAUGGGAUGCAAUACCGAGAGGUAACGCGAACCCGAAACCUAUUCGUAGUUCGAACUGAGGGCUGUAACUCGCCCUCACGAAGCUGGAUUCCGUAGUAAUCGCGGGUCAACAUCCCGCGGUGAAUAUGCCCUGCUCUUU
Molecule: ribosomal RNA, 376 nt
Filed under: uncultured Thermoplasmatales archaeon
Lineage: Archaea; Methanobacteriati; Thermoplasmatota; Thermoplasmata; Thermoplasmatales
Description: bacterial SSU rRNA
Rfam family: Archaeal small subunit ribosomal RNA
Source: RNAcentral